Non-coding RNA from Anas platyrhynchos (mallard), 6199 nucleotides. The record is from RefSeq and is a predicted model, not a curated record. NCBI's taxonomy places the organism in Eukaryota, Metazoa, Chordata, Aves, Anseriformes, Anatidae.
UUUCAGAAUUUGAAGAAAUAUAUUAUCUAUAGGCAGGAGUUAUUUAAAGCCACAGAAUAAAACCAAGUAAUUCUAAAAAUUUUAUAUUUAUAGAACUAGAUACUAUAGUGUCUGUGACUUGUAGACAAAAAUUGUAUUUAAUCUCAACCAUAAUCAAAGUUACAGAUAAUGAAAGAAAGACCAUCCAAACAUAUAUGAGGAAAGCAGAAGAUAGAAAAAAAUGAAAUACAAAGAUAGACUAGGCUAGACUUAAUAUAGACCUUUUACCAUUACCCUCUUUACCAUUAUUUUCUAGACAAAUGAAAUAAGCUCUUUAGAUUUCCAUAUAACCUUUCUCUUCAGUAUGCUAUACAACUAUACUUUUAUUCGUUCAAAUGGAAAUAUGUAUAUUUACAUGUAUUUUUCUAGAUAAAUUGCAUAGACCAUCUCUCUUUAGGUUUAGAUUUAAUAUUUCAGAUUUCAGAAGAGCACUUGAUGCAAUUACACAACCAUCAACCUUAUAACCUAGGUGAAGAACUACUAAAGUAUUAAAGAAAAGUUGGGGGAGCAGGACGGGAAUAGGGGAAGGAACCUACCUACAAGGCAGGUUCCUAAAGCAGUUCCUUAAGGACUGUUUAAGUACAGUAUUAUUUAUGUGAUGUUGGCAGAAAAAGUCUGACACCAGGUAAGGAGCCACCAUAAAUGCAGAGGAGGCUUGGUACAUGAAGAAUAGAUGACCUCUGGGACUGGAAUAAUAGAAAUUGGAUAAACUCAGUAGCAAAAAAAAAAAAAAAAAAAGGUCUUGGAUAUUAACACAAAUAAAAGGAAUUUAUUCUGUAAGUUAACAAAUCACCAGCUGCUAAAGACACAGUGCACUAUUCAAUAACAUAAUAAGUAAGACAAUUAGUGUGAUGUGAAAUGGAAAAGGUAAAUUAGUCCUAAUGUUUAUCUGGAAAAAUGUUUCCAGAGCAUGUAUCCUACAAGCAGAGAUGAUAAUAAUGUGUACUGAGUGAGGAAUAGUUACAUGGGACUUGGCUUCACUAAGUCCAAAUGAACACAUACACAUGCAAUGAGAUGCUUCUGAAAAUAUUUUCUUUUGUUUCUGCAAGUACAAAAAUCCAUGGAGAAAGGCAAAGAGCUGCAAACUGUGCUCUAAUUGCCACAGAGGCAAUAAAAUAUGUGGAAACUCAUAAAACUGCUAAUGGUUUUGAUCUUCAUAUGGCUUAGUACCAUGUAUGAAAGCUCUGAGAAGAUACAUUUGUUCUGAUAUUUACAAAUGGAAUGCUGUAACCAUACAAAGCUAUGGAGAACAUUCAUUCAUUAGUUCAGUUUUGAUCUAAUUUUCUACGGAGCAAGAUAACAUCUCCCACAAAAAGCUCUAAGGCACCACCCAAAAUUAAUUGUUCUCAGUUCUUAAGAAAAGCCUUUUAUCAGUUCCAGCAGCACUAGAAUUUGGAUGUCUAUUGAUAACUAGUGAUCAACCAUCAUGACACUGAAAGAGGGAAAGAAGGCAAGCUGUUUAUAAAGUCUUCAAAAUAAGAUGGUCAGACCUUCAAGAAAAUGGGAAAGCUGAUUCAAGGUCUAAAUAAGGAAAGGUAAAGAAAGUGUAGCAAAGUAACAAAAAUCCAGGGAAGUCAGAACACCUACAGGUUGCUCUUUAUGAUUCUUUAAUGAUCUAGCAGAUGGGACAUCAGGAUGACCGUACUGGGAAAAGGCCAUCUAAGCCUGCAGACGGCCUGAAUCUGUCUUUACUACUAAUGGAAGUGUCGUUCCAGGAGAGUGUUUGUGCAGAGAGGCAGUGUAAUACUGCCUCAGAUAAUUGCCAUUCUACCAUUUUUCUAUUCACAUUCCAGGACUGGUCACCAGGGCACAAGCUGUUCUUGGCUACGUGGCCCAUACCAUUGCAUACUGACACAUGCCAGUUCAAAUUCACACAAGGAAAUCUUUGUGGUUAGAACCUGAACGCCUGUGGAUUAACCUACCACUGCAUUUAAAUCACUGAAAAUCAAAACCCUACUCCUCAUGCCUGUGGGAAGGGAAUAACAUACAUCUUGAUUUGGUUGCCUUUGUAAUAAGUAUAAUUCCUUGCAGGCUUACAAAGAAAAACAGUCACCUAAUAAUCUCGCAGAUUAAAAACAGAAGCCUAUGCUAAUGAGCUAGGAGAGCCAAAUUCUACUUCCAUUUUUAACUGUGCCUCACUUAAUGACUUCAGAAUGCAGCUCAAGGUCUGAUUCAUCUCACCUAAUUUAACCAUCUCAGGCAUCUAUUUUACAAUAGCUAACUAGACUCAAAAGUAAAUAGAGAAAAAUGAAAAGAACCUUCUAAGAUAGUAUCUAAAAUAGGUGUGGUAGACAUGCAUCUCUCUUUCUGCUACUAAGUGGGAUUAGAUGGGUCAAAUGGAUCAGAUGCCUUUUAUUUUGUGUUUACCAGCUUACUCUCAGUCUAGAGUUUUUCAGUAGUCAGUAGAACAAGAUACCCAUCUUCAGUGUAUGAUUCAUCACACGUUUCUCCAAAACUUAUUUUGGAAUGGGAUAAAUCCCUUCUGAAGUUGCCUCUGCAUCUCUGCUGACUAAAAGAAACAACAUGGAAUAGAAUCCCAUCAAAAGUCACUCAAGGAUAAAUGGAUAGGAUAAAUACCAGCUGCAGACAACACGUCUAUUGCAAUUGGUGAAGUGAGAAAACUAAAUCCUGACAAAAUGAAUGCAUUAUUUUUCUGCCAGUUGUUUUUUUUUUUGUUUUUGUUUGUUUGUUUGUUUUGUUUGUUUGUUUUUUUCCUAUUUUUUUUUUAGUCACAGAUAUACAAGUGAAUUAAAAGGUUACAAACUGAAUCAAAGAGGCAACAUUUGACUCUGCUAGCAUGGCUAUAAUGGAUCUCUAGGGGAUAUUAUUCCCUUCAGCUGCCAAAUUUUGAAGAAAUGUCUCCCAGAUUUGAAGAACAGGCCGUGGAUUUUGAAAAUGGGGAUUGAUUGCAUCUUGUGGAAACAAAAGUUCCUGGAUCUACCCAGAGAGAAAACUUCACAUCUUUCUAGAGAGAAAACCUGACUGUCUAGAACAGCACCUUUGUUGUCAAUUACCAGUUUAUAAAGCACUGCUGAAUACUGUAUUUCUGUACAAAUGAGAAUAACAUACACUACCCAUAACUAAAAUAGCAUUUAAAAAACUAUCAGUCUUCAAAAUCCAAAGCUUAAUUUAAACAUUAGAAGUCAGGAAGAAACUGGGCAGCUUGGGUUUUAAAAAUUAUCUAGUAUACCAGUUCCGUACAUCUUCCAAGUUAAUUCCUGGACCCUAUGUAAGGCAUGGGUUCAGCAUUAGAGUCUUUAAUUCUAUGCCAUAGAGAUGGAGAAGAAUUUCUGCUGUUCUCUACCUGCUCAUGCAUCACGACUAUCACAAGACAUGACUGAAUUGAUUUCCUCUGCACUGUCAGGCUUCCCUGAACAAAUAGAGAAUAUUUCCAUACUAUAAUUAUUCACACUGGACUUUAACCAUGAAAUCAGAUUUAGAAAUAAUCAUAUAAUUCUUAUUAAAUUACAAACACUGUUACCUAAGGUAACAAUAGUGUAACACAACAUACUUUAUAGGAGCUGAUGGACCUACUAACUUAUGCACAGUCCUAUGCUGUUUCACAGAAUCACAGAAUGGCUGAGGUUGGCAACCUGGUCGGUUUUGAAUAUCUCCUGAGAAGGAGACUCCACAACCUCUCUGGCCAACCUGUUCCAGUGCUUUGUCACCCUCAGUGUAAAGAAAUUCCCUCUCAUAUUCAGCUGGAAUCAGUUUCUAGUCAUUAUAUUAACAUCUAAACUAACAGUCCACACAAAAAUGAAUAAAAUAAAAUAAAAUAAAAUAAAAUAAAAUAAAAUAAUAAAAUAAAUAAAACAAAAUAAAAUAAAAGAGACCACCAAAUCAUCAAUGUUCAUCUCCAAAUAGCAAUGAAGACAAAACAGUAAUAAACUGAAUCUGACAAAGCCAGAAAAGAGAACGUCAGGGGUUCACAUUUUCUUGUCAAACAAACCUCUCCAAUAGUCUUGCAUUACUCCACUACUGAAAGGCACUCCCAAGCACAUUUAGCAUGAAUUUGAGCCACCUUCUGCAGUAUAUUUGCAGGAGAAUCAGGAAUUAAACCUAAAUAUCCUACAUGUUUUUAUGUUUUUCCGUUUCUUGUGCUCAGUGUUUGAGAGACCUCUUUCACUAGAUCAGAUUCACUAGUUUACCUGAUCUAGUGCAAGAUAUUCCUGCCCAUGGCAGUGGGGUUGGGCUAAAUGGUCUUUAAACCAUUGGUCUUCCAACCCAAACCAUCCUGUGAUUCUAUGAUUAAUCUUUAAAAAAAAGGGGGGAGAGGGGAGAGGAGGGGACACCACCUUAAGAUUUUUAACUACAGCUGUGAAACAGGGUAGACCAGCUUUAAUUAUUGUUUGUAUUUCUACAAUCUUCUAUCUUUUUCAUCUCUGUAGACCUUGUAUAUAGUUCUUGUUGUGAUGAUUUUGAAUCUUUGUUUUCCCCAAGAUGAGACUUAAUAUAACUUUAAGGAAGUAAAAUAGUGCACAUUCCUUUACAAAGAUUUCAUCUUUCCAGAUGGUGAAAUCAUGGCUUCUGGAGAGCAGACAGUGUAAGUGUAUAAUGCUAGAUCUAAUGGAAAAAGCAUCUCUCACUAUACCAAUUUUCUCUGUGCAAGUUUUCUACUAUCAAAGAUUUUAAUGGAUAGGACAUGAUCUGAUCAAACAGAACAAGCAGGACUGGUCAUUUUUGGAAGAGACUGGGUCUGCACAUUUUAAAACUGUCAAUCACACAUACCCCUUUUUCCUUUACACUCUGCACAAUUUCUUUUUACAAAUAAAUAGAAGACUGUUCUGGAACCUUGUAAGGCUGCAACAAAUUUAAAUAAUUACACUGCAGUUUGAUUUUACUAAAUACCCAGUGACCUAAUUGCUGGCUGAUAUUGGUCUCUGAUGAAAAGCUAGGUAUUUUGUCUUGUGAUGGAAUUUGCUUAUUUCUUUAUAUUAUUAAUGAGGUAACACUGCCAACUUAGCUAACUUGUACUUCACACUUACAAUGCAAUUUCCAAACACUCAUUUCCAGCUUACUUAAAUUUAAAAAACUGUACUAGCAAAGUGACCUGUUGUCGGCUGUCAACUACAAAUGCCUUUAUUCUAACUUGGCUUUAGAAUCUGUGCAUGAAAAAAAUGUUAUAGUUGUGUGCAGUGUAGAUUAACAUUUAGAAAACCAGCCCUGGGAAGCAGGGCUUGUAGAUUUUGCUUCUCCUACUUCUUUUCUCGUAAUCUGCCAAAUGGCUGGUUUCACAAAUUUGCAACAGUUACUUAUGGAUUUUCUUUUGGAUCUGCUUUCUAGCAGAAUUCCCAGGGAUUGCACUAGAAGUUCUGGAAAAUUAUAACUCAUGAACACUCAAACACUGACCCACUCCCCCUACUCAGCAUCCCAGGUCUCCAGAGACUGCAAGGGAGGUGUAUAUCUUGCCACCUUCAUGUAGGUAAUGCUAGUUAGAGUGACAGAGUAUUAUAAUCUAAUAAUUAGAUUUAAUCUAAUUAGAUUUAAUUAGAUUAAUUAAUCUAAUCUAAGUAAUCUAAUUGUGAUAGAAACAUUUCUAGAAUCAGAAAGUAUUUUGCGGAAAUACAAUUGCGAUAAAUAUAAUUAAUAAUUGUGAGUAUGCAGUAAGCUCUUUUUUGUUUUUGUUUAUUUUGUUAUUGUCUACAGUAAAUCCUGUUAUAUAAGUAGUAUCCAGAAGACGCCCAUGCAAUGGAAGUUGCCUGGACUUUUACAUUCAGUUUAACUGAAAAUGAAAUCCUUAAAUACCAAAUGACUGUACUUCAAAGAAAUAAUUUGUUGUGGGAAGAAAAAUUAUGUCCUGCUUUUUAUGGUGUGACGGCAUUGAAUUCUGCAUCCAUUAAUAAUUAAAUUCCUAGGGAGGGAGGAUGAAAAGACAGCAUCAAUUCACAUUUGUCAUAUUCCUAUCCUUCCCCAUAUGCUCUGAGUUAAGUUCAACAUGUCCAUGGGCAGAUUGCAUAACAGAAUGCAGAAAUAUUAGAACUGUAUUCAUUCAUCCAGCAUAAAAAAAGAAAAAAGUAAAAAAGAAAAAAAAAAAACAGCACUCUGAAACAACAUGAGAAAAACUGUGAAAUUGUAUCUGUUUGAUUUUUUUAUUUAAAAUCCUUUCUAUUUACAUAUUCUUUGAUGAUUUACAUUUUAUAAUAAACUUUGCCUGUGGAAA